Molecule: ribosomal RNA, 467 nt
Filed under: uncultured bacterium
Lineage: Bacteria
Description: partial 16S ribosomal RNA
Rfam family: Bacterial small subunit ribosomal RNA
Source: RNAcentral
GACGAACGCUGGCGGCGUGCUUAACACAUGCAAGUCGAACGGAAAGGCCCUGCUUUUGUGGGGUGCUCGAGUGGCAAACGGGUGAGUAACACGUGAGUAACCUGCCCUUGACUUUGGGAUAACUUCAGGAAACUGGGGCUAAUACCGGAUAGGAGCUCCUGCUGCAUGGUGGGGGUUGGAAAGUUUCGGCGGUUGGGGAUGGACUCGCGGCUUAUCAGCUUGUUGGUGGGGUAGUGGCUUACCAAGGCUUUGACGGGUAGCCGGCCUGAGAGGGUGACCGGCCACAUUGGGACUGAGAUACGGCCCAGACUCCUACGGGAGGCAGCAGUGGGGAAUAUUGCACAAUGGGCGGAAGCCUGAUGCAGCAACGCCGCGUGCGGGAUGACGGCCUUCGGGUUGUAACCGCUUUCGCCUGUGACGAAGCGUGAGUGACGGUAAUGGGUAAAGAAGCACCGGCUAACUACGUG